RNAcentral lists this ribosomal RNA (259 nucleotides) under uncultured prokaryote. RNAcentral describes it as "partial 16S ribosomal RNA". It matches the Rfam family "Bacterial small subunit ribosomal RNA", at positions 524 to 782 of the family's 1533-position model. The record is from RNAcentral.
UACGUAGGGUGCGAGCGUUGUCCAGAAUUAUUGGGCGUAAAGAGCUUGUAGGCGGUUUGUCGCGUCUGCUGUGAAAAUCCGGGGCUCAACCCCGGACUUGCAGUGGGUACGGGCAGACUAGAGUGUGGUAGGGGAGACUGGAAUUCCUGGUGUAGCGGUGAAAUGCGCAGAUAUCAGGAGGAACACCGAUGGCGAAGGCAGGUCUCUGGGCCACUACUGACGCUGAGAAGCGAAAGCAUGGGGAGCGAACAGGAUUAGA